UUUCACAAAGAUUUCUCUCUGAUGUUUUGUGCCAUUUUAGGAGUCAUUAUGUGAUUGCAAUUGAUUUGGAUCCAAAGAAACUUGAUUUAGCGAAGCAUAAUGCUGCCGUAUAUGGCGUUGCUGAUAAAAUCGACUUUGUGAAGGGAGACUUCUUUGACUUGGCUCAUAACUUGAAGGCAGGCACUGUGUUCCUAUCGCCUCCAUGGGGAGGCCCUGAUUAUCUUAAAGCGAGUACGUAUGAC
Brassica oleracea var. oleracea is the source of this 242-nucleotide long non-coding RNA. RefSeq lists it as uncharacterized. The transcript is spliced from 2 exons. The record is from RefSeq and is a predicted model, not a curated record. NCBI's taxonomy places the organism in Eukaryota, Viridiplantae, Streptophyta, Magnoliopsida, Brassicales, Brassicaceae.